Molecule: ribosomal RNA, 253 nt
Filed under: uncultured bacterium
Lineage: Bacteria
Description: partial 16S ribosomal RNA
Rfam family: Bacterial small subunit ribosomal RNA
Source: RNAcentral
UACGGGGGGGGCAAGCGUUGUUCGGAAUUACUGGGCGUAAAGGGUCCGUAGGUGGCCAACUAAGUCAGACGUGAAAUCCCUCAGCUUAACUGGGGAACUGCGUCUGAGACUGGAUGGUUCGAGUGCAGGAGAGGAAUGCGGAAUUCCAGGUGUAGCGGUGAAAUGCGUAGAUAUCUGGAGGAACACCGGUGGCGAAGGCGGCAUUCUGGACUGCAACUGACACUGAACGACGAAAGCCAGGGGAGCAAACGGG